GAUGAAGAACGUAGCGAAAUGCGAUAAGUAGUGUGAAUUGCAGAAUUCAGUGAAUCAUCGAAUCUUUGAACGCACAUUGCGCCUCCUGGUAUUCCGGGAGGCAUGCCUGUUCGAGCGUCAUUAAAAUCACUCAAGCUUAGGUUUACCUAUUGCUUGGUCUUGGAGAUGGAAGCCAAUUCAUUGGAAUCCUCUUCGAAAUCCAAUGGCGAAGACCCUUGCUCUCCCAAGUUUAGUAAUAACUUAUGUCACUGAAGGAAGCGAGAAAUCUUCCGCCGUAACCCCCAUAUUUUCUAUGAUUGACCUCGGAUCAGGUAGGGAUACCCGCUGAACUUAAGCAUAUCAAUAAGCGGAGGA
Molecule: unclassified non-coding RNA, 354 nt
Filed under: soil metagenome
Description: partial contains 5.8S ribosomal RNA, internal transcribed spacer 2, and large subunit ribosomal RNA
Rfam family: 5.8S ribosomal RNA (bases 1-120)
Source: RNAcentral